UUCCAAAAAUUGUUUCAAAAA
This 21-nucleotide non-coding RNA is filed under the name Caenorhabditis elegans. The record is from RNAcentral. Lineage: Eukaryota; Metazoa; Nematoda; Chromadorea; Rhabditida; Rhabditidae.